Molecule: ribosomal RNA, 497 nt
Filed under: uncultured bacterium
Lineage: Bacteria
Description: partial 16S ribosomal RNA
Rfam family: Bacterial small subunit ribosomal RNA
Source: RNAcentral
GAUGAACGCUGGCGGCGUGCCUAAUACAUGCAAGUCGAGCGAACGGACGAGAAGCUUGCUUCUCUUAUUUUAGCGGCGGAAGGGUGUGUAACACGUGUAUAACCCACCUCUUAGACUGGGAUAACUUCGGGGAAACGGAGCUAAUAUCGGAUAAUAUUUUGUACCGCAUGGUUCCAAAGUUAAUGACGGUCUUGCUGUUCCUUAUAGAUGGACCCGCGCUUCAUUAGCUAGUUGGUAAGGUAACGGCUUACCAAGGCAACGAUUCAUAGCCGACCUGGCAGGGUGAUCGGCCACACCAGAACUGAGCCACGGUCCAGACUCCUACGCGACGCAGCAGAAGGGAAACGUCCGCAAUGGGCGAAAGCCUGACGGAGCACCGCCGCGUGAGUGAUGAAGGUCUUCGGAUCGUAAAACUCUGUUACUAGGGAAGAACAUAUGUGUAAGUAACUGUGCACAUCUUGACGGUACCUAAUCAGAAAGCAACGGCUAACUACGUG